AAGUGAGAAGCAGAUAUUUGACAGUUCCUGGGGUAGCUCAGAGAAUUAACAUUUGUGCGUGCUCAGUCUCUCAGUCAUGUCCGACUCUUGGCGCCCUCAUAGACUGUAGCUCACCAGGGUCUUCUGUCCAUGGAAUUCUCCAGUGACAUCCAGGCUUGCUCCACUGUCAAGUUUCAGGUUCCCCAAGGAGAAUCUGCUUCCAGUGAAGUGUGAGAGCAACCAGCCACAGUACACAAGGGCACAAGCAUCUGGGCCAUGAGAGUGAAGAUGCUGCCAUGCCUCAGGCAGCCUCCGGAAGCCUCAGCUGUCUGCUCCUGAGAGUAAGAAGGAAGAAGGUCAUGACAUGCUAGUUGUCGUUCAAUCACCAACUCGUGUCCGACCCUUUGCGACCCCAUGGACUGCAGCACUCCAGGCUUCCCUAUCCAUCACCAUGUCCCAGAGUUUGCUCAAACUCAUGUCCAUUGAGUUGGUGAUGCCAUCCAACCAUCUCAUCCUCUGUUGUCCCCUUCUCCUCCUGCCUUCAGUCUUUCCCAGCAUCAGGGUCUUUUCAAAUGAGUUGUCUCUUCGCAUCAGGUGGCCAGUAUUGGAGCUUCAGCUUCAGAAUCAGUCCUUCUAAUGCAUAUUCAGCAUUCAUUUCCUUUAGGAUUGACUGAUUUGAUCUUCUUGCAGUCCACAGGACUCUCAAGAAUCUUCUUCAGCACCACAGUUCAAAAGCAUAAAUUUGCUGGCACUCAGCCUUCUUCAUGGUCCAACACUCACAUCCAUACAUGAGUAUUGGAAAACCAUAGCUUUGAUUAUACGGACCUUAGUCAGCAAAGUGAUGUCUUUCCCCUUCAUGGAUCACAGCCUUGUCGUGGCAAAGGGGCUUGCAUAGCUCAUUGAAGCCACAGGCCAUGUUGUGCAGGGUCACCCAAGACAGACGGGUCACAGUGGAGAGUUCUGAAAAAUGGUGGUCCACUGGAGAAGGGAAUGGCAAACCCCCUGCAUUCCCUCUUGCUGAGAGAACCCCACAAACAUGAACAGUAU
Bos taurus (domestic cattle) is the source of this 1026-nucleotide long non-coding RNA. Lineage: Eukaryota; Metazoa; Chordata; Mammalia; Artiodactyla; Bovidae. The record is from Ensembl.